Molecule: transfer RNA, 81 nt
Filed under: Acidobacteria bacterium 13_2_20CM_2_57_12
Lineage: Bacteria; Pseudomonadati; Acidobacteriota
Also listed under: 2 other names
Description: tRNA-Met
Source: RNAcentral
UGUUGAGAAGCAAAGACAGGCUAGUAUUUCAUCCGGCUCAUAACCCGAAGGUCGUCAGUUCAAAUCUGCCCUCCGCAACCA